Molecule: non-coding RNA, 213 nt
Filed under: unclassified sequences
Description: HNH endonuclease-associated RNA and ORF (HEARO) RNA
Rfam family: HNH endonuclease-associated RNA and ORF (HEARO) RNA
Source: Rfam by way of RNAcentral
GUCAACUACCCCGGCCUAAAGACCGAGGCUUGUGAAAGCAGGCCUGGUUGACCAGCCUAAGUUUUUCGAGAACUACGUUGCAGACAGGUUCAAGACCCACCUCGGAAUGCUUCCUCAGUUCCGAGCUCUGGAAGCCUCAGAAGCAGACAAGCAUUGGGUACGCACGAAACGGUCUGAGGCAAAAUGCCGGUCUGUUCAACAUUGGCGAGGGGA